AUGUAUGCUAUGUUCUACAGGGCAAAAAUGACCCAAACAAAACAAGCCUUAAGAAGCAAAGUGAAUUUCAAAGACAAUCUGAAACGAAGAGUGAACAUUCAAACAACGAAGAGGAAGCAUAUCCCUUCUUUGAACUCAGAGUUCAGUAUGAACUGGCAAUACUUUCUUUCAGACCGUUCCUCACAAUUAAGUACAGCACUGAUGAAAACUCAGAGAGGAGAUCAAUGACGUGUCCUGGAAAGAGUUUGAACCCAUAAUGGAACAAUCAAGAGCAAAGGCUUUCUAAACAUGGGACUCAGAGGGAUCAAAAGAAUUACUUCAACAGCUGUUUAUUUACCAGUGAAGGUACUUGUUUUAUUAUGCUACUGAGAGCAAAGAACUAGGGCUGCUACCUGGUUGGUUAUUUUCAUAACUGUACUAUCACCAUCAGUAGCUGAGACAAGUUUCUCAACAGAAACAAACAAACAAAAAAAGGCCAGACUCUCACUUGCCUACAGCUAUCUGGGUCGAGGCAACAGAAUCAUGGUUAUUUUUUCUCUUCUUGUCUGCAGCUCUCUCCUACAGAAUGGAGGAACCUGCCUCUCUGCUGUGGAGCUUGGCUGCACUGUCCAUUGCAUGGGGUGUCUCAGCUCCCAGACAGGAUCCUCUGCUUUACCUUACUCAGAAAGAGUUCCAGUAAUCUUGUUUUGAUAUGUCCCAGGACAGGACCUCAGUCUGUGUGAUCUCAGUGGGGUAAAUUAUAGCUGAGAGCUUUUGAAAGGCAAGUUAGUUUAGUUAUGCCACACAGCUGAGUUUUAUUGACAGGAGACAGGCUGAAAAUGGAAAGUUUUGUUUACAUUUCAUAUAUUCUGUGCUAUUUCACUUAUUGGGAAUGAGCAGAAUAAUACAUGCUUGGCUUUGUUUCCUUGUGUAAUUUACUGAAAAUUGAUUACUUUCUGAUCAAAAACUGAGAGGACACAACUGUCCAUCUAAUUCCGUGCUUAGAUGCUUAUAAGUAAUGGGCUUGAGAAGCCCAGACACUGGAAUUUGUAUCUCUAGUCCAAGAGAUCACAUAAGGA
This 1058-nucleotide long non-coding RNA is filed under the name Anas platyrhynchos platyrhynchos (common mallard). RNAcentral's name for it is "lncRNA (ENSAPLG00000024188.1)". Lineage: Eukaryota; Metazoa; Chordata; Aves; Anseriformes; Anatidae. The record is from RNAcentral.